RNAcentral lists this ribosomal RNA (497 nucleotides) under uncultured bacterium. RNAcentral's name for it is "partial 16S ribosomal RNA". It matches the Rfam family "Bacterial small subunit ribosomal RNA", at positions 28 to 507 of the family's 1533-position model. The record is from RNAcentral.
GAUGAACGCUGGCGACGUGCCUAAUACAUGCAAGUCGAGCGAACAGACGAGGAGCUUGCUCCUCUGACGUUAGCGGCGGACGGGUGAGUAACACGUGGAUAACCUACCUAUAAGACUGGGAUAACUUCGGGAAACCGGAGCUAAUAUCGGAUAAUAUAUUGAACCGCAUGGUUCAAUAGUGAAAGACGGUUUUGCUGUCACUUAUAGAUGGAUCCGCGCCGCAUUAGCUAGUUGGUAAGGUAACGGCUUACCAAGGCGACGAUGCGUAGCCGACCUGAGAGGGUGAUCGGCCACACUGGAACUGAGACACGGUCCAGACUCCUACGGGAGGCAGCAGUAGGGAAUCUUCCGCAAUGGGCGAAAGCCUGACGGAGCAACGCCGCGUGAGUGAUGAAGGUCUUCGGAUCGUAAAACUCUGUUAUUAGGGAAGAACAAAUGUGUAAGUAACUAUGCACGUCUUGACGGUACCUAAUCAGAAAGCCACGGCUAACUACGUG